Molecule: ribosomal RNA, 442 nt
Filed under: uncultured bacterium
Lineage: Bacteria
Description: partial 16S ribosomal RNA
Rfam family: Bacterial small subunit ribosomal RNA
Source: RNAcentral
CCUACGGGGGGCAGCAGUGGGGGAUAUUGCACAAUGGGGGAAACCCUGAUGCAGCGACGCCGCGUGGGCGAAGAAGUACUUCGGUAUGUAAAGCCCUAUCAGCAGGGAAGAAGAAAUGACGGUACCUGAGUAAGAAGCACCGGCUAAAUACGGGCCAGCAGCCGCGGUAAUACGUAGGGUGCAGGCGUUAUCCGGAUUUACUGGGUGUAAAGGGAGCGCAGGCGGCACGGCAAGCCUGAUGUGAAAGCCCGGGGCCCAACCGCGGGACUGCAUUGGGAACUACCGGGCUGGAGUGCCGGAGAGGUAGGCGGAAUUCCUGGUGUAGCGGUGAAAUGCGUAGAUAUGAGGAGGAACACCAGUGGCGAAGGCGGCCUACUGGACGGUGACUGACGCUGAGGCUCGAAAGCGUGGGGAGCAAACAGGAUUAGAUACCCGUGUAGUC